UUAAGUGGUGCCAGAAGAAGACUGAAGGAUACCUGAACAUUGAUAUCACCAACUUCAGCAGCAGCUGGAACGACGGGCUGGCCUUCUGUGCUGUUCUCCACACCUACCUGCCUGCCCACAUCCCCUACCUGGAGCUCUCCAGCCAGGACAAGGUGAGAUAGACCCCCUCAGUCCACGGACCUGAAAGUUCUUAGUGUGGAAAUUAUAUACAUGUAGUUCGUUCAUCACAAAUGUAUUUUCUCCCUUUUUUCCUUCAGAAGCGAAAUUUCACACUGGCUUUCCAGGCCGCUGAAAGUGUCGGGAUCAAGUCCUCAUUGGACAUUGGAGAGAUGGUGCACACAGAGAGGCCUGACUGGCAGAGUGUGAUGACCUACGUCACUGCCAUCUACAAGUACUUUGAGACGUGACCCAUCUUCAAGCCUGAACACCUCGCUUGCCCACACGCACGUGUCCAGCCAGGGCUGUCAUCGCAACACUGGACAACCUUAGAGCAACAUCAGCCAAUGCUACCUGCGAAUAUGUCUGGGACCCUGAGUUCUACCUUAAGCUGCAUCACUUAACUUCACCAAUAUAUUCCAUGUUUACACUGCAAUGUUCUACAAACUCUUGGCUUGGGAUGCUCAUGUGGCUUCUCAGUUUGAUUGAAUUCGUCAGACUAGGCUGUGGAUAGACUGAGGCCAUGGGUUGAACUGUCCUUCAACUUUCCCUGGGUCAGUGACUUCCUGUAUACUCAAGUCUUCUGGCCUCUUGACCCCAGUCCUAUGUCCUACUGUCUGCAGUAGCCUACACCAUCAUUACCUCCAACUUUACACUGUAGUUCAUGUUUAGCUAGCUGAAACAAUGUGUAUGGUUUUGGAUUUGGAAUACUGCGGAGAACAGGAUUGCCUUUUUAAAAUGCCUUUGGCUUUGUCCAUUUUGUCUCUUCGCACAAUGACUUGAGGGUAAGUGUGAUUUACCUGACUGACAGAGGGUCCAGCUUAACUGUAGCUGUUCUAACAAGGCUGUUUUAGCCCAAUGCUUUGCUGUGAUAUUUAUUCCAAAGAGAUAAUAACUUCAUACGAAUCAAUGCCAUGUUUGUCUCUUGUUUUUGCCAAUUAUGACAAUGAGCAUUGACCCAUUAGGGAUAUUAAUAAUACAUAGUGCUUUUUGAAGGACCCAAAGUCAGAGUUCAAUCGCAUUGACGUCUUUUACGCCAGUUAUUAUUUGUCUCAGUCCGUUGUGUCCAAACUCUGUAAGCGUGAUGGUUGACCACCACGGCCAGUCUCUGGUUUUACAGUGAGGUCCCUGUUGCACACCCAUCCAUAAUGGUUGUACAGUGAGGUCCCUGUAGCACACCCAUCCAUAAUGGUUGUACAGUGAGGUCCCUGUAGCACACCCAUCCAUAAUGGUUGUACAGUGAGGUCCCUGUUGCACACCCAUCCAUAAUGGUUGUACAGUGAGGUCCCUGUUGCACACCCAUCCAUAAAUAGGCUGAACAACACAGGGAGCUGACCUGAUAAGCUAACAGUUUAGGCAUUAAGGUAAAAGCACCACUUACUGUUCAGCAAAUCCUCCCUGGUUUCAAAGCACAACAAGGGGAUGUGAGGCUCUUUACUUAAAUGGAAUGUGUUUAAACCUUCAUCGAUGCCAUAGAAACCACCAUGUUUCAAAACCGUUGGGUGUACUACACACAGUAAAGUCCCUUCCUCCAGCACAGGGAAAUCAUAUUAGCUAUGCAUGUUCCCACACAUGGGAAAAGCUUACAAUCCUCAUUUGCUUUGAAAUAGUUAAAUAAGUAUGUAUGAGAACUUAUGAGUUGUGUUUUUGGUACAUUGGAAUAUUCUCCUUAUACUGAGAUACCAUGUGAAUAUUUCAUAACAUUUUGUUGCUCAUAAAGGCAUCUGAUAAGGUUUCCACAGCUAAGAUGAGCUACAGUCAUUUAAAUGGUACUAGUCAUUGCCAGGAAUCAAGGCUAAUAGACAGUGUAUAAAACAUUAGGAACACCUUCCCUCGGAAUAGCCUCAAUUCGUCAGGGCAUGGACUCUACAAGAUUGGCUUGUGGAGUCCAUGUUGGCUCCAAUGCUUUCCACAGUUGUGUCAAGUUGGCUGGAUGUCCUUGGGGUUGUGGACCAUUCUUGAUACACAAGGGAAACUGUUGAGCAUGAAAAAUCCAGCAGCGUUGCAGUUCUUGACACAAAACAGUGUGCCUGGCAGCUAGUUCCAUACCCUGUUCAAAGUCAGUCAAAUAUUUUGUCUCGUCCAUUUACCCUCUGAAUGGCACAUACACAAUCCAUGUCUUAAUUGUGUCAAGGCUUAAAAAUCUUUUAACCUGUCUCCUCCCCUUCAUCUACACUGAUUUAAGUGGAUUUAACAGGUGACAUCAAUAGGGGAUCAUAGACUGACCAGGUGGAUCCAGGGGAAAGCUAUGUCAUGGAAAGAGCAGUUGUUCUUAAUGUUUUGUAUUCUCACUGUAAAGUAAACGUUCCAGUUAGGGUAACUUGGUGUAACACGCACUCUGCCUGUACAUCUCACAGGAACCACUUCAUGUCACAAUUUUUCCCCAACACUUUCCCCUGGUUGUCACUGUUUCUCAACAAAAAAGUUAUAUUGGUCUCAUCACAAAAUG
This 2605-nucleotide long non-coding RNA is filed under the name Salmo salar (Atlantic salmon). Its description in RNAcentral is "lncRNA (ENSSSAG00000082706.1, ENSSSAG00000116594.1)". The record is from RNAcentral. Lineage: Eukaryota; Metazoa; Chordata; Actinopteri; Salmoniformes; Salmonidae.